AUCAGAGAUUGCCACAGACACCCAGGGCAAUGUGAUUUGUCACUUAACGAGGGAGGCAGAUCAAGAGCAUCUCAUCCUCCGGCUGCUGAGUCAUCCUGCUCUGGCAGUUAUUUAAACAGAAGCCUCCAGGAGACAUACAAUCAACACUCCACUCAGACAAUGCCCAGACCUCCAGAAACCAUGUGUCAAGCUCGGAUUGCCUUAGACAGCUCACCCAGCUGGAACUCUUAUGGGACCUUGGCACCAGAGACCACAAAUUCCUCUUUGAAGUUUUCUAACAGCAACAAUGGUAUUUCUGACUUGGCUUUCUUGUAUUUCUCUCACGUUAACAAAAUCGGUUCAGCAUCUACCAUGGGCUACAUGCUGAGCUACAGAGUUUCGCUCUGUCGCCCAGGCUGGAGUGCAGUGGCGCGCGAUCUCGGUUCACUGCAAGCUCCACCUCCCGGGUUCACACCAUUCUCCUGCCUCAGCCUCCUGAGUAGCUGGGACUACAGGCACCUGCCACCACACCCAGGAAUCCAACUUGCUGUUUGCUAUCACAUGUGCUAUACGUGCUGUUGAUGAAACUGCUAAAGGGGCUGAAUGUGACUGACGUCUUUGGAAGGAUGAGACUUAGCGUGCCUGUACAGUUGUGUCCAAAUGCUGUCCUCAUCUCCCAAUGAAAAGGUAUUGUAAAUAAAGAGAAAGAUCAGAGGCUUAUUUUAAACACUAAAUAUGAGCUAGGAGCUGUCCUAGACACUAUGUAAAAGUUUUAUUUAGUUCUCACUGUAAUGUUGGCCUUAUGUUAGCAUCCCAUUUUUCAGACUGAGGAAAUUAUGGCUCAGAGAGGUUAAGAGACUUAUUGAAGGUCACACAGCUCCACAAACUUUGGUGUAGAUUAAACGUGUACAUGGGUCUAUGUGACUUUGAAUCUUGCAUUCUUUACAUUAUUGGAAUAUUUCACAGAAGGAAAAUGACAUAUUAACAUGGCAAUAAGAUUUCUGGUUCCAGUCUGGUUACUGGUCUUCCAAGAGUGUUAUAGGAUUUAUAGCCUGAGCUCUGAAGCUUUGUUCUGAAGCAUGCUAUCAAUAUGAACAAAUUGGUAUGGAAGGAAGCCACAAAUUAUAUACUAAAAUCUAGUUCAUCAGAGGAAAAUAUAGUUAAAUACAUUUACAUUCCCAGAACUGUUAAUAUUGAAGAAUAAAACACACAGUGGGAAAGAGACGAGGAGAAAAUACGCCUGUUUUUAUGACUUGUUGAUAUCUACAGGGUUUUUCCUUAAGCCUCACAACAAUUUACAGCAUUGCCAGCAGCAUUCAGUACAUUCAGAACAGGAUCAUUUCACCCACAGCUGAACUAGGGCCAUGCCUGGGACAGACAGAGAAUGGCCUUCCAGCAGACAUGCCAAGAAGCAAGCCAGGGUCAGUGAGUGAAGAGGAGGGCAGGCCCAUUUGAAGCAACACAGUUUAUGUAAGUGUGAUCUAACCGCUUUCACUGGAAAUGGGUCAGACUCCAGUUGAGAGAACCAGGGGCCUGAAUGACCCCAGCAAAAUCACUGUGGCAAUUCUUUCAAUCACCUCUGAGAAUAUGGCCCUGUGACGACAUAAUGACGUUUGGAUUAAUUUCAGUCGGCUGUGUUUUCCCCUCCUUUCUUGCUUCCCCAUAGUUGAUUUGCCAAAUUUUUUUUGUUUGCUUAAAUACGCUAAACUAAACAGGAUACAUUAUAUCACAGUCUGUGAUAAAUUUACCACUGGGAAUAGGGAAAAAAGUAUGGGAUAAAGAAAUAGGUCUUUUUCGCCUCUCACAGCUGUGAUUCAGUUCUGACUCAAAAGGAAGUGUGCCACCUACUGAAUCACAGAAACCACUUCCUGUGGCUGUUUGGUUUAUUCUGGAGGAGCAUCAGGCCAAGUGCUGCCCUGCCCUGACCCUGACUGGCUCUUCAGAGCCAAGGCAUUCACAGCUUGAGGUGGUUUGGCCUCAGACUCUUGAGAACAUUGCAUAUUAAAUUACAAGUGUUUCGUUUCCUAGCAAGGAGUCUUUAGCAACAUGAAAACGAACGUGUGUUAUUUGCAAACCAAGUAUAUCAUUACUGAACCUGAAUAUCCUUACUUUUUCAUAAGGUACGUAUUCCGGAUGACCACUCUUAAGAUCUGAAUGUACACUGGUUCUGUUUUUCCUGAGGGGAACUUGGGCAGUCUGCAGGGUGGCAUUUACCAGCUGAGGGACUUCAAGAGCACCCUUUAAUCAGUGCGGCAGCACUCAACUUGUAUUCACUCACUCAAAGUAUUUUUGAGCAUGUACUUAUUGCCAUGUGCUGUGCUAGGUAGGGGUAGAGGGUACAGUGGUGAACAAGACCCCACAGCUCCUGACCUCAUGGCUCAUGUGUUCUACACCAUAAGGGAAUUAUGCUGUGUCUCCCGGGGCAGGGGCCUUCCUCUGUUCAUCAUGCAGCCCCAGCAUCUAGCACCUGGCCUUGCAUAAAGGAGGCUCUAAAUCAAGCUUGUCCAACCCAAGGCCCAUGGGCCACAUGUGGCCCAGGAUGGCUUCGAAUGCAGCCAAACACAAAUUUGUAAACUUUCUUAAAACAUUAUAAGAUUUGUGUGUAUGUGUUUUAGUCCAUCAGCUAUUGUUAGUGUUCGUGUAUUUUAUGUGUGGCCCAAGACAAUUCUUCUAUGUGGCUCAAGGAAACCAAAGAUUGAACACUCCUGCUCUAAAUACUUGUUUGUUGAAUAGAUUCAUGAAAAGAAAGAAGGAGAGAAGGAGGAAAGGAGGGCGGAAGGAAAGGAAGAAGGGAGGGAAGAAGAGAAGAAAGAAGCAGAGAAAGGAAGAGAAAAGAAAUUACGGCCAGUGCGGUGGCUCACGCCUGUAAUCCUAGCACUUUGGGAGGCCUAAGCGGGCUGAUCACCUGAGGUCAGGAGUUCGUAAGCCAGCCUGGCCAACAUGGUGAAACCCCAUCUCUACUAAAAAUACAAAAAUCAGCAGGGCAUGGUGGUGCAUGUCUGUAAUCCUAGCUACCUGGGAGGCUGAGGUAGGAGAAUCGUUGGAACCCGAGAGGCGGAGGCUGCAGUGAGUUGAGAUCAUGUCACUGCACUCCAGGCUGGGCAACAGAGUGAGAUUCUGUCUCAAAAAAAAAAAAAGAAAGAAAGAAAGAAAGAAAGUUACCAUUAGUUUUCUGUUGUAUUUGCAAGCAAAGACAAAAGCACCAAGGUACUUGUUUCCUUCUGUAAUUAGAGUUUCAAAUAGACUAAAAGUUUCUGCUCUUAGGUGGGUCUAGAGACUCUCUAGUACCUCAGGACCUCAGGACACAUGGGGUCUCUUGGUUUUCUUUUCAUUGUUGUUGUUUAUUUUAUUUUUGUUUUUAUUUUUUAACUUUAAAACAAUUUUUUGUAGAUGAAUAUGCUUACAUAUGUUUGGGGGUUUUUUUGAGACAGGGUCUUGCUCUGUUGCCCAGGCUGGAGAGCGGUGGUUUAACCACAGCUCACUGCGCCUCGACCUCCCAAGGUAGGGACUGCAGGUGUGUACAGUGGGGUGCACCACCACACCCAGCUAAUUUUUAAAUUUUUUUUUGUAGAUAUUGUCUCACUCUGUUGGCCAGACUGGUCUUGAAAUCCUGGGCUCGAGCAAUUCUCCUGCCUCGGCCUCGUAAUGCGUUAGGAUUACAAGCGUGAACACCGCACCCGGGCAGCAUGUGGUCUCUUAACCAGAGGAGGCCUCUUCUGAACUAGGUAGAGGUCCUGAGAAUUGAUUCUGAGAGUAAAAGGCUCUUUGUUCUCCUCAGAGUAGAUUAGAAUCCCUAAUGAUAGAGCAUCUAUUAUUCCUCUAGUGGUCCAUGCCCAACAGAUUCAUCCAAGAAUAGAUGAAGAUCUUUGUAAUGUUGUGCAAGUAAUCUAAUCACCCCACAGAAGAGCUGUGACUUAAAUUAUCCCAGAGUCGGCCCACCUGUUUUCAUAAAGAUCAAUGUAACUUGUAAAUUUCUUCAGUUCUCCUCACCUAUCAUCAUUUGACUGACAAAAUCCAGAAAACUAGGCUAGUUAUGGUGGCCUAUGCAUAUAAUCCAAGCUCUUUGAGAGGCCAGGGUGGGUGGAUUGCUUGAGUCCAGGAAUUCGAGACCAGCCUGGGCAACAAAGGGAGACCCUGCCUAUAUCCCAGCUAUGCAGGAGGCGAGGCCAGAGGAUUGCCUGAGCCUAGGAGGUUGAGGCUGCAGUGAGCCAUGAUUGCCCCACUACACUCCAGCCUGGAUGACAGAGUGAGACCCUGCCUUAAAAAUAAUAAUAAUAGUAAUAAUAUUUCAUAAAGAUACAGGAAACUAGAUUAUAAUUGACAUUUUCAAAGUGAAAUACUGUCUAGAAUGGUGCUUGGCCAACAGUAAGCUUUUUGUAAGUAGAAGUCAUUACUACUACUAUUUCUUUCAUUAUUAUUACCAUUACUACUUUUUUUUACAAAAGAAAAAAACCCUGGACAACACACUGAAACCAUUACUACUUCUACUACUAUAACUUAGGUUGCACCUGAUAGAGCCAGCAAUUUUUCCAAGGUAUGACAAUGGCCAUAUGUUUAAUGAUAUAAUUCUAUGGCUCAGUGUAUCUCAGCCUUUUUAAACCCUGCUCUUCUUUUGACAAUUGUAAAAAUCUUAAACUGACCUCCAGUUGAAAUCCUCUGUCAAGAAGAUAUUGUCGGCCAGGGGCGGUGGCUCACACCUGUAAUCCCAGCACUUUUGGAGGCCGAGGUGGGAGGAUCACUUGAGGUUAGGAGUUCGAGACCAGCCUGGCCAACAUAGUGAAACCCCAUCUCUACUAAAAAUACAAAAAUUAGGCAGGCAUGGUGGUGUGUGCCUGUAAUCCCAGCUACUCAGGAGGCUGAGGUAGGAGAAUUGCUUGAAUCUGGCAGGGCAGAGGUUGCAGCAAGCCGAGAUCACGCCACUGCUCUCCAGCCUGGGUGAGACUGUCUCAAAAAAAAAAAAAAAAAAAGAAAGAAAGAAAGUAAGAAAAAGAAGAAAUCCCAAUCUCUUCUUUUAUGUGGAUUCUUCCUCACUUGAAUAAUACUUUUCUUCCCCAGUAUCCUCCAUAUUAUCCCAGAGUCAGCCCCUCUGUUUUUGUAAAGAUCUACGUAACCUCCUCUAAGUUUCCCAGUUCUCACCUAUCAUAUCAUCUGGCUCAACAAAGGGCAGGAAGCUAGAUUCUAAUUGAUAUUUUGAGGCCAGGAGCAGUGGCUCAUGCCUGUAAUCACAGCACUUUGGGAGGCUGAGGCGGGCAGAUCACUGGAGGUCAGGAGUUCGAGACCAGCCUGGCCAAUAUGGUGAAACCUCGCCUCUACUAAAAAUACAAAAAAUUAGCCAGGCUUGGUGGCUUGUACCUGUAAUCCCAGCUACUCAGGAGGCUGAGGCAGGAGAAUAGCUUAAACCUGGGAGGAGGAGGUUGCAGUGAGCCGAGAUUGCGCAAUUGCACCCCAGCCUGGGUGACAGAGCAAAACUCCAUCUCAAAAACAAACAAACAAACAAACAAACCUGAUAUUUUCAAAAUUGAGGCAAUUAUAACAGCUGUUUAGCCAAGAAUUACGAUAGCAAUAAUAGCAAGAAAAUAAAUUAGUUCACAAAUGAGUCUCAGAAGCCCAGUGAUUUUUAUUUUAUUUUUAUUUUUUGAACUUUUAUUUUAGAAUCAGGGGAUACAUGUGCAGGUUUGUUACCCGGGUAUUUUGCAUGAUGCUGAGGUUUGGAGUAUGCAUGAAUCCAACCUGUCAUCCAGGUAGUGAGUAUAGUACCCAACAGACAGUUUUUUUAACACUUACUUCACUCCCUUCCCCAAUCUUGUAUUUCCCUGUGUCUACUGUUCCCAUUUUUAUGACUGUGCCAACAAUAAUUUUUUUUCUUUUUUCUUUAAAUAGAGAUGGGGGUCUCUAUUUAAAGAGCCUCCCAAAGUGCUAGGAUUACAGGUGUGAUCCAUUGCACCUGGCCCAUGCCAACAAUAUUUGAAACCCUUAUCUGCAUGUACAAGUUUGCUACUGGUUUUGUUUUGCUCAUUAAUACAUCCCAAGCAUCUAUACCUAGCUUGUAGUACCAGCAUGUAGUAGGUGCUUAAUAAAUAUUUAUUGAAUAAAUAAAUUAGUUUGACAUUAGUUUAACAUUUCAAGUAAAACAAAAUACCAUUCAGUUAAUUCUCUUCUUCUACUUUUUUCUUUUAAGAGAGACAAAUAGUCACACAUACAUCAGCAGGAGAGGAUAUAGUUUCCUGUGUUUAAGUUUUUAUGAGUUACUUUAGUUCAAAUGUCACAGAAAAUUAUAUUGAACUCUUGACCAAUCUAUCUAUUUUUUCCAUUGGAGUAUUGACCCAAAUAAGAAAUAGCAUAAAGGAAAAAUUAUUUUUUGGCAGAAAAAUAUUCUCUCUAAAUUCUUGUGUGUUUUGUUUUGAUUUUUUCCUUAGUGACUGGAGGCCAGUUUCAAUCAACUGAAGCACAGAUUCCAAAUUUUCAAUCUGGUUUUCUUGAGUAGUGACUGAGUGCCAAAAAUGAAGCAAUGACACAACAUCACCAUCAAGACACUCCCCAGCACGCACACACAUGCCAGAGUCCAACACCAAGACACUCCCCAGCACGCACACACACGCCAGAGUCCAGGCCAUAUUCGGGUGGCUUGCAAGCUUCUUCCCCCCAAAGUAUUUACUCUCAAAAUAAUGGUUUUUGUUUUGUUUUGGUUUGGUUUGGUUUGUUUUUUUCCAAAUACAUUUCUUCCCUAUAUCUUUAACCAAUUCUCAUAAAAUUUUGUCUAAUACACUGGUCAGUGUAUUCCAGACCCUAAAAGAUAACAUAAUGAAACUAUCUAUGACUAAAAGGUAAUCAGGAUCUUCUACUUAUCCUUUUUUCCUCCCUUUUAAACUUUAAUUUUGAUACAUUUGAGAAUGAAAUGAUGACAAUAAAUGCAAAGUAAUUAUUGAAGAAACAAUAAUUUUGUAUUAGCUUACUGAAAAAAAAAAAGAUAACCAAAUAUAUUUUGGCAGCCCCAAACGAGUCACAUGUGUAAUGCAGUGGGAGAGCAGUGUCCUGAAGGAAAAGGUGGCCUGCGGGACAGCCAAGAGAACAAACAUCCACUGCAAGUAAUAUGAGCUCUAAGUUUGGACUAGGCCUAUGUCUGCUCUGAGACUUGGGGCAAUUCACUUAAUCAGAGCCUUAAUCAGCUACAGACUAACAAUAUCCAUAUCUGCUACUUAUUUUGUAAAUCUCCUUUCUAAAGUUAACUCUAUUCCAUGUUCCAUAAUCCCAUAAAUUCUAGAAUCUUUUCCUCUUAUAGCCAAGUUGUUUAUCAUUGACAGAGAUAUUCACCUGGUCGUUUUGGCUUCUCUAAUCCUCCUGGUGAGAACACCUCCAAGGGAGCUUUCAGUGGCAUUUAAGGUCACUUGUGCUCUUGGGCCUAGAAACUGCCUUGAUCGUGGUUUUAGCUCACAUGAGGAACAAAACCCAUCAGAAGAUGUCAGAAGAUAAGGAUUUUUGUCCUGAUGCUACACUUACCAGCUGUCCCUCAGUGUUCUACUUCUUAAAAAAAGAGAGAUGGAUAAACAGAGGCAACCCGAGGAUAAAGGCCUUGCUCAGUGUCACACAUUUCAGUCACUAAAUAAGACACAAUGGAUGCCAGUAUUCUCAUCCCCUCACAAAUAAAGAGCCUUCAAGCUCUUGCAGUCAACAAGAACUUUUGGAAUGAUUUCACUGCCUGAAAAGGCAGAUACAUAGGUGACAUCCACAAAUAGGAAGAAAAUCAACCUGAACCUGAGUGUGUGGGCUCACUGACUCUAAGCAGUAGAGACAGAAGAGAAAUAAAGUUUUAGCAAAGAAGAGUUCUGAAAGAAAAUAAAUAUAGCUCGUUAUCAAGUGCUGUUUUUACACAGUAAAACAUGGGCAAAAUUACUCUUCUUUAAGUAGUGAUUCUUAUCUCUUGAUUAAGUCACCUACUCAUUCAUUUAAUAAAUACAUACUGAUUGUUUUCUA
RNA transcript from Pan troglodytes (chimpanzee), 7950 nucleotides. RefSeq lists it as uncharacterized. Lineage: Eukaryota; Metazoa; Chordata; Mammalia; Primates; Hominidae. The record is from RefSeq and is a predicted model, not a curated record. The transcript is spliced from 6 exons.